RNAcentral lists this ribosomal RNA (459 nucleotides) under uncultured bacterium. RNAcentral describes it as "partial 16S ribosomal RNA". It matches the Rfam family "Bacterial small subunit ribosomal RNA", at positions 338 to 795 of the family's 1533-position model. The record is from RNAcentral.
CCUACGGGAGGCAGCAGUGAGGAAUAUUGGUCAAUGGGCGAGAGUCUGAACCAGCCAAGUCGCGUGAGGGACGACGGUCCUAUGGAUUGUAAACCUCUUUUGUCGGGGAACAAAGCCGCCCACGGGUGGGCGGAUGAGUGUACCCGACGAAAAAGCAUCGGCUAACUCCGUGCCAGCAGCCGCGGUAAUACGGAGGAUGCAAGCGUUACACGGAUUUAUUGGGUUUAAAGGGUGCGUAGGCGGACAGUCAAGUCAGCGGUAAAAAUGCGGUGCUCAACGCCGUACAGCCGUUGAAACUGGCAGUCUGGAGUGGGCGAGAAGUAUGCGGAAUGCGUGGUGUAGCGGUGAAAUGCAUAGAUAUCACGCAGAACUCCGAUUGCGAAGGCAGCAUACCGGCGCCCGACUGACGCUGAGGCACGAAAGCGUGGGUAUCGAACAGGAUUAGAUACCCUUGUAGUC